This 2249-nucleotide long non-coding RNA is filed under the name Olea europaea subsp. europaea. Lineage: Eukaryota; Viridiplantae; Streptophyta; Magnoliopsida; Lamiales; Oleaceae. The record is from RNAcentral.
AUCUUUCUUAAAACUUUCAUCUUUGAAGUGGUGGUGUUAAGGAUGCUUCUGAUCGUGGGGUGGUGAGGACUUCCCGGAAAAUGGCAGGCAGACGUCAAGCUUCACAACUCUCUUUCUUAUCCCUUCCAUUUCAUAUGAGGUAUUAACACUUUUCCGUAAUUUCCUUCAUAUUAUUUGCAUUAUAUUCAUCACCAUAAUUCAGAAUAAGGAUCUUGAGGCCCUGCAUUUUAGUUUCUUUCCAUCAUGAUGUCAGUAAGUCUUGAAUCUUGAAUUCAAUUUCGUUAACAGAUUUAUGUUCAAAUACUGUUAAUAGAUGAAUUCUUUGAAAACCCAGUUCUUUUUUUAUUGUGAUUGUGUAUGGUGUAAUUACGCAUUGGACUCUUUACCCCUAAACUAUGCAUAGUUUCUCAGCAUAAAUCUAGGGAAUUUUAUUAUGGGAAUGUACUUAUGUUAUCUGAUCCAGUGAAAAGUUGUCAUUAAUUAAUAAUGAAUGGCCAAUGGGGAUUUCUAAGCAAAUGUAUUUGUUAAUCUUUUAAAUUGCUCAAUAAUAUUUAUGUAAUAUUUACUGAUAGUAGGAGUUGGAUUGAUCUCACUGUGAAGCAUUGGAAUUUCCUGUGUUUUGACAACUUAAUCCACAUCCUUUAAAUUUGCUACUUCUAUCAUUCUUUUACAAUUUGCCUAUGUAAUGGUUGUUUUCUGUGAUCUGCCAUUCACCCCUUCCUCCUGGGAUCGACACCUCUUGUCAUCACUUAUUUUUUUUAUUUUUGUUUUAUGUCCCGUAACUCUUCCUUAGCCAGGCUUGGGCGGCCUGUCCAGCAGUUUCCUGAGUGUUGGAGUUAAUUUAUGGGAUGAAACAACUCGAAGUAUGGUCUGGCUUAUUGAUAAGUUUUAAAGAUUAAUAUAAUGAUGCUAUGUCAGAAACUUUCAAGAUCCUUUUGUUAGUCAUCUUGCAUUCCAAAUCCAGUUUCUUUGCAUUAUUUUAUUUACUAGGAACUGGAUUUAUUAACCAAAUGGUUAACUCCAUCCAUAAACCUUUUACAUCAAAAGUUAAAUGAUUUGAUUGAUUUGUACGGAUUUUUGGAAAGAUGCAACUAUUCAGUCAAUAUGGCUUAUUUCAGAAUAUAUAAGGUGUCCUUUUACAUAGACCUAUUUAUUCUUCUUUCAAAAAUUUUCACUUAAUAAGUCUAUUUGUUAAAACAGGUUUUAUGAGAAGUCUUUGGGACCUAUUAUAUAUGGUCAUGUUCAUAUAGAUUCUUUUUAUAAAACAUCCGCGAUAAGAGGAUUAGCCCAUUAACUCAUUUUUUUUGAUCGACGAGUAAUUGAUGGUUUACAAAAGGGGUUAGUGUUAUGAGUUUCUAUAUAGGAAAAUGUAUGAAAUAUGUAGGUGGUGGACGCAUUUCUUCUAUCUUUUCUUCUAUUUAUCUUGUGUAUCAAUCUUUCUAUUAAUUUCUUAUUUUCUGGUUUUUUUAAUAAGCAUUUUGAAUUUUGAAUUGCCAUGAUGAUGAUAUGCAGGAUCCCCUGGAUAAAACUGAAACCAAAAAGGGGGAAGAUUCACAUCCGACUAGUACUUCUAAUUGCACAAUCAGUGCCUCAGAUGUAAGGUGUUUUUGGUGCACAUUUUUCUGAAGUGAUUUUGACAUAUAUUUUGACUAAGGUUUUAAAGAUUGAUAUAUGAUGUAUUAAUAAAUAUAAUUAUGUUAUGUUGAAAACUUUCAUAAUCAUUUUACUAUUCUUAAGAUUAUGUGAUAAUAUCCCAUGACCUGUUUCUCAAAAUAAGCUCUUUGGAGUCUCCAAAGACCAUCUUGCGUUCCAAUUCCAGUUUCUUUGCUCCAUUUUAAUUACAAGGACCUCAUUGUGCUGAUCAUUUGCAGGAUCCCGUGGACAAAACUGAAACGAAAAGGGUAGAAGACUCCCUGCCGACUAGUACCCCUGAUUGCACAAUCCAGGUCUCAGAUGUGAGCUUCAUGAAUUACAUUGUAGCCAAAAUUUAUAUGCCUUUUCUCAAUAAUCAUCUUUCUCCUUGUUGAUGUCCACAAAAGAAGACUGUUUUGCUCUGAAUGAUAAUGCUUUUCUUUUGGCUUAAUUAACAUUUACAGUUAUUUGAACUUGUUCCCAUGAUGAAAAACCACCAACUCCCAAAUAGUGAAAGACAAACAAAUUUGGAUUUUUUGAUUGGCGGAAUUGGACAUCAUGGAUAUUAAGGCAUAACCCAGAAACCAAAUCAUGGAGGAAAGUAACCUUUGUAUGGA